Molecule: ribosomal RNA, 517 nt
Filed under: uncultured bacterium
Lineage: Bacteria
Description: bacterial SSU rRNA
Rfam family: Bacterial small subunit ribosomal RNA
Source: RNAcentral
AACUUAGCAGAGAUGCUUUGGUGCCUUCGGGAACUCUGAGACAGGUGCUGCAUGGCUGUCGUCAGCUCGUGUUGUGAAAUGUUGGGGUUAAGUCCCGCAACGAGCGCAACCCUUAUCCUUUGUUGCCAGCGGUCCGGCCGGGAACUCAAAGGAGACUGCCAGUGAUAAACUGGAGGAAGGUGGGGAUGACGUCAAGUCAUCAUGGCCCUUACGAGUAGGGCUACACACGUGCUACGAUGGCGCAUACAAAGAGAAGCGACCUCGCGAGAGCAAGCGGACCUCAUAAAGUGCGUCGUAGUCCGGAUUGGAGUCUGCAACUCGACUCCAUGAAGUCGGAAUCGCUAGUAAUCGUAGAUCAGAAUGCUACGGUGAAUACGUUCCCGGGCCUUGUACACACCGCCCGUCACACCAUGGGAGUGGGUUGCAAAAGAAGUAGGUAGCUUAACCUUCGGGAGGGCGCUUACCACUUUGUGAUUCAUGACUGGGGGUGAAGUCGUAACAAGGUAGGCGUAGACGU